RNAcentral lists this unclassified non-coding RNA (348 nucleotides) under soil metagenome. RNAcentral's name for it is "partial contains 5.8S ribosomal RNA, internal transcribed spacer 2, and large subunit ribosomal RNA". The stretch from base 1 to 120 matches the Rfam family "5.8S ribosomal RNA", at positions 35 to 154 of the family's 154-position model. The record is from RNAcentral.
GAUGAAGAACGUAGCGAAAUGCGAUAAGUAAUGUGAAUUGCAGAAUUCAGUGAAUCAUCGAGUCUUUGAACGCACAUUGCGCCCCCUGGUAUUCCGGGGGGCAUGCCUGUCCGAGCGUCAUUGCCGCCCUCAAGCACGGCUUGUCUGUUGGGCCCCCGCCCCCCGGCUUCGGGGGGCGGGCCCGAAAGGCAGCGGCGGCACCGCGUCCGGUCCUCGAGCGUAUGGGGCUUCGUCACCCGCUCUGUAGGCCCGGCCGGCGCCCGCCGGCGACCCCAAUCAAUCUUUCCAGGUUGACCUCGGAUCAGGUAGGGAUACCCGCUGAACUUAAGCAUAUCAAUAAGCGGAGGA